RNAcentral lists this long non-coding RNA (6895 nucleotides) under Theobroma cacao (cacao). Its description in RNAcentral is "long non-coding RNA (TCAC_LNC001222)". Lineage: Eukaryota; Viridiplantae; Streptophyta; Magnoliopsida; Malvales; Malvaceae. The record is from RNAcentral.
GCCUUUGAACUUAUUGCGCCACCUCUGCAUACUUCAGUCACAAAAUAUAAAAUUUACUUCAAAAUACACCCGUUUGGCUUAUCUCUCUAUCACGACCCAAAUUUUGAGCCAUGACCGACGCAUGGGCCCAAUGGACGUAGUCCACUAAGCCCAAGCAAGUCAUUAAUCUGACAUGUUCAUCAUUCCAUCAUAAACUGCUAAGUCAUAUAUCAUAACUUAGAAUCAAAAUAAAAUUAAGCAUUGCCACUUCAUACUAGCAUACCAAACAGGUGUAUAUACACUGUCUACACAUGUAUCUUAAUAAUUCACAUUAGGUUGGUCUAUACACAACAAAAGGAGACUCGAUGUCCAGCUGAGAGACUCGGACGAAUGUACAACUACUGAAUGCCGAGACACCUACCAAAAGAUGGAUACAAGUCCACGAGGACACCUCGUCCUAGUCACCGGUUGUCUCUUAAUCUGAAAACAUGAAGUCAAAAGCGGUGAGCAUAAACUCAGUGAGUGAACAAGAAGGGAACAAGCAUACUAUAAGGAAUGUUUAUCGAAAUCAUGAUGCACUCAUUUUCUCAAAACAAUGCAAUUUGUUCUAGUUCUAGUAGAACCCCUCAUGUAAACCCCUCAUGAGUAAAUCACUUAAAAGAUCUAUACUCAACUAUGGUACCAAAGAAUCGAAAAAUAUAGCAAAACCCACAAGUUAGCCAAAAUGGACAGAAAGUUUCUCGCUGCAGGGAACUUCAUUCUCAUUGUAGCGAGAACCAGGUCUGGUGAAGGCCCUCAAACUCGAGAGUUUCUCGCUGCAGCGAGAGUCAGAACAUCAAGGAAAAAGUCUCAUUUUCCUUUAAAACAAGUCAUCCUGCUAAAAUAACAAUAGCAACAUGUAACACGUGUAAACUCCCAAAUUUCAACAAAUCAAAUGCUCACAUAUUUGCAUUUACAACCAUAUACCAUAUAUGUAUAUAUAUAUAUCAAUCAUCAUAUACACCCUCCCAUCAUCAUCAUCUCAUAUGCAACGACUUAUUCGUACUCCCACUCGCAUAUAGUCGGGUCAGCAACGGCUUAUGUGCACUCCUACUCGCACAUAGCUGGGUUAGCAACGACUUAUGUGAACUCCUACUCGCACAUAGCCAGGUCAGCAACGGCUUAUGUGCACUCCUAUUCGCACAUAACCGGGUCAGCAACGGCUUAUGUGCACUCCUACUCGCACAUAGACAGGUCCACAUCAACAUGCAAAGAAGCAUCCAAUGCAUAUCAUGCAUUUUAUCAUAUUAUGAUAACACAUAAACCAUUGUAUAACACAUUUUCACAAUAUAAAAUCAUUUUACUAAAAGCUUGUUCCCAAGGUACAUUUUCUAAGCAAGUUGGAUAGAAUCUUUCAUAUUCCCCAAAACAAGUUUGAAAUGCAAGUCUACUCACCGGUAUUCAUUGAGCCUUUAGACGACUCUUAAUCUCCCUAAUGAUCCAAUUGGAGUGAUGGGGCUUUGUUAGCACCUACCAUCAAAUUAACAUUUCCAUAAUGUCAAUUUACAUAUUAUAAACCUUAAAAGCUAUCUUUUAGCUAGCUUUCAAUUGCCAUUUAAAUGGCCAUCCAUUUUCAAUUUCCUAUCACUCCAAAGUGAAUUAACAAUCUCAACUACAAAAUAUUCACAAAUCAAAUCUCUAGUCAUUCUCAACACUUAAAACCCAAUACUAGUUUACUACUCACCUUGAUAGCUUUGUAACUUUGAACUUCUUUCCAAAAGCUCUCAAGCUAUUAAUAAAGCUUCCUCUUUCUCUCUUUAAAACACCUAACUAGUGAGAGAUUAUGGAAACAAGAUUUUCAUCAUUUUCAAGGGUUUUAAAGUGAGAGAGUGGAAGAAUACAAGGGUUCUAGUCAAAAGGGCACCAAGGUAUGAAAAUUAGAACUAGAGAGAGAAAGUUAUGAAAGCUUCACAUCAAGCUUCCAUGGAGGAAUUGAAGAAACGUGAGAGGGAAGAGAACAAGAAGAAGAAGCUGUUAGAAAUCCCAAGAAGUUGCUAAAAGGAGAGGAUAUUUAUGGCCGAAGCUUAUCCACUCCCUUGGAAAUUACUAAAAUGCAUCUUCAUAAAUUAGCUUAAUCCUUGAAAUCCCACACUUUUUCUUCAAUUUUCCCACCUAGGGUUUGUGUUCUUUCCUUUCCUCUUCACUUCAUGCUUUGGCCAGCCAUAUGGGUGAGACUAAGAGAGUUUUAAAUAGAUUUUACAGGGAAAUUCUAGAAUAAUCCAAUCUUGACACAUGGCUUGUUUCCAUUGGUCCAUGCGUAAUACUUAUCCAUUAAGCAAUCUCUCUCCACCACAUAAAAUGUUUCAAUUAUCCACAAUGUAAAAUGUUAAUGGCUGAAAUCCAUGGGCAUGACAAGUGUCAGGUGGUGUAAAAUUCCAAAAAUUUCCAUUUUGUCCUCGAGUGAUAAAAUUACCAUUUUGCCCCUAGAACAUGAAAAUCAUCAAAAUUUUUAUUUCCUUGUCAUUUCACCCAUAUUUUCAUCAUUCAUUUAUGCUUUAGGCCUACUUAAGCUAUAAUAUUGUUUAAAACUUACUUUUAUGGGCUUAUUGAGAAAAUGACAAAAUUACCCCUGAUUAGGGAUAUCGCGUAUAUUUCUAUCUAUGAGUCUAUAAAGGUCAAGGUCUCACAUUGUCCCCCACUUAAAGAAUUUAGGUCCCCGAAUUUAAAUUCAACUAUGAGGUGACUUACCUCUAUGCAACAAGAAGGUGGGGAUACUUUGUCCGCAUAUCCUCAUCGGCCUCCCAUGUUACCUCUUCACUCCAUCUGUGCCUUUGGUAAACAUUUUUCCUUUUCUUCCCUAAGGACCCUCUAAGGCCUUAGCUACAAACUCAUCUUUACUUUGUGUUUCUUUAAUCCUGUCCAUUAAAAUAUGCCUCACUCUAAAAUAUGCUAGCAAUGCAUUUGUCUCAGCAACUUCCCAAUGCACACCUAUGUCUCCCAAGCUAUGGAUCUCCCUAACCAAGGAUCUCCUAUCUGUAGCAAUAUGUGCCAGACUCCCCAUGGUGAGAUGCUAGGUCAGAUAAAGCCUUUAUCGAGCAAAUCUUCUAAUUGAUCCUUAAGCUCUUUAAGCUCUGCAAGUGCCAUUCUAUAUGGGGGUAUGGAUAUAGGUCUAGUGUCGGGAAUCAAAUCUAUGCAAAAUUCAAUCUCCCGCUUGGGAGGUAAACUUGGCAAUUCCUCGGGAAAUACAUCCAUGAACUCAUUCACCACCGACACUUGACUUACAUUUCCAACCUUCGCCUGAGUAUCCCUUACCACUGCCAAGUAACCUAUACAACCCUGUUGUAAUAACCUUCGGGUAGACAGGACCGAUAUCAAAUUGGUUCGAACAUUACUUUUAUCCCCUUGAAUACUAAAUGAUGGUUCAUCAGGGAAAUCAAAUCUAACCAAUUUAUAAUAACAGUCCACACUAGCAUUGUAGGGUGAUAACCAAUCCAUCCCCAAGAUCACAUCAAAGUCUAAAGUGUCUAACACCACUAGAUUCAUCAAAGUAUCUUUGUCUUGCUGCAAUACUAGCACUAGGCGAGUCACUCCCCUGCUGGGGUAAUCGUGAGUCCCUCUGUGGACCCUGACGGCUAGAAGAUGAACCACCACUGCUGAAAUCUCUACGGCCUUGAUAACCUUCUGUUUUGGCCCUUUUUGCUCUAUCCCUCGUAACUCUGCGCUCACUGGUCCUCAUUUUAAUCUGCUGAGCACAAUCUACCGUUGCAGAGUAGGUUUUAAAAUCUCGGGAUGCCAUAGCCCUAAAUAGUGGCUCUACUAGCCCAUCUACAAACCUCUGAAUCUUCAUCUCCUCAGUGGAAACUAGGUAAGGAGCAUACCGAGACAACUACGUGAACUUGAUGUCGUACUCUAACACCGUCAUACUCGAGGUCUAUACCAAAGUCUCAAACUCCCUAGCUUGUGCAUUACACUGAGUGGUAAGAAUCGAUCUAAAAAGGUUGCACUAAACUCACCCCAAGUCAAUGGUGCUGCAUCCGUCAGUCUGCCUCUACAUAGAGAACUAUACCACUCUUGCGCCACAUCCUCUAAUCGGAAGGCGGCUAGCUCGACUGAUCGAACACUAGAGCAUCUCAAAGCCUUACAUAUUUUCUCCAUCUUAUCUAAAAAGAUAUGGGGCUUCUCCGAUGCAUCGGACCCUGAAAAUGAUGAAGGCUUAAGCUUAAGAAAAUCAGGAAGAGAAAUCUCUAAGUGACCCCUCUCAACCUCAUGAUAUUGGUGGUCGACCUGUCCUUGGGAACUAGGGGAUUCUUGCACUGUAGGUCUCCCUUCUACUACCCUUUGUAUAUCCUCCAUACAGGUCACCAUCAUCUCUAUAACCCGAUUAACUCCCUGUAGGCCUGUCGCCAAAUCCUCAAUGGUAAUACCCCCAGCUGGGUGUCUAUCUACAUCACUUGAGGACUAUUCCUCCUCUCGCCUACUCAUAAGCGUAUCCACCCUCACCGGCCUAGUGGCCCUACCACGUCUACCUCGACCCCUUAGGGUGGAUGCUUGUGGCCUAUUUGCCAUCUCAGUAGGAGCAUCUUGCUCCCCCAUCCGUCUUGAGGUGGCUCGUGUCUUAGGCAGUAUUCUUACCAAAACAAGAGCAAACACCUGUUAUUAAACACAUUUUAUAAUCAUACUCAAGGCAAAAGGUGGUUUCUAAGAUAGAAAAUCUAUGCGGUCCCUUGGUCGUAAAAUGUGUCGCUGUUCACAGUUUACAACCAAAGUUCCCACAUAAAAACCCGACACUCCGCUGGACCAACAAAUGGAAAUCCUAUGACCUAGAAAAACCUAGCGCUCUGAUACCAACUUUGUCACGACCCAAAUUUCGGGCCAUGACCGGUGCAUGGGCCCAAUGGAUGUAGUCCACUAAGCCCAAUCAAGCCUAUUAAUCCGACAUGUUCAUCAUUCCAUCAUAAACUGCUAAGUCAUAUACCAUAACUUGGAAUCAAAAUAAUAUUAAGCAUUGCCAUUUCAUACUAGCAUACAAAACAGGUGUAUAUACACUGUCUACACAUGUAUCUUAAUAAUUCACAUUAGGUUCAUCUAUACACAACAAAAGGAGACUCGAUGUCUAGUUGAGAGACUCGGAAGAAUGUACAACUACUAAAUAUCGAGACACCUGCCAAAAGAUGGAUACAAGUCCACAAGGACACCUCGUUUUAGUUAUCGGCUAUCUCUUAAUCUGAAAACAUAAAGUUGAAAGCGAUGAGCAUAAACUCAAUGAGUGAACAAGAAGGGAACAAGCAUACCAUAAGGAAUGUUUAUCGAAAUCAUGAUGCACUUAUUUUCUCAAAACAAUGCAAUUUGUUCUAGUUUUUAGUAGAACCCCUCAUGUAAACCCCUCAUGAGUAAAUCACUUAAAAAAUCCAUACUUAACUAUGGUACCAAAGAAUUGAAAAAUAUAGCAAAACCCACAAGUUAGCCAAAAUGGACAGAAAGUUUCUCGCUGCAGCGAACUUCAUUCUCGUUGUAACGAGAACCAAGUCUGGUGAAGGCCCUCAAACCCGAGAGUUUCUCGCUACAGCGAGAGUCAAAACAUCAAGAAAAAAGUCUCAUUUUCCUUUAAAACAAACCAUCCUGCUAAAAUAACAAUAGCAACAUGUAACACAUGUAAACUCCUAAAUUUCAACAAAUCAAAUGCUCACAUAUUUGUAUUUACAACCAUAUACCAUAUUGUAUAUAUAUAUAUAUCCAUCAUCAUAUACACCCUCCCAUCAUCAUCAUCUCAUAUGCAACAGCUUAUGCGUACUCCCACUCGCAUAUAGCCGGGUCAACAAUGGCUUAUGUGCACUCCUACUCGCACAUAGUCAGGUCAGCAACGGCUUAUGUGCACUCCUACUAGCACAUAGCUGGGUUAGCAAUGGCUUAUGUGCAUUCCCACUCGCACAUAGCCGGGUCAGCAACGGCUUAUGUGCACUCCCACUGGCACAUAGUCGGGUCAGCAACGACUUAUGUGCACUCCUACUCGCACAUAGCCAGGUCCACAUCAACAUGCAAAGAAGCAUCCAAUGUGUAUCAUGCAUUUUAUCAUAUUGUGAUAACACAUAAACCAUUGUAUAGCACAUUUUCACAAUAUAAAAUCAUUUUACUAAAAGCUUGUUCCCAAGGUAUAUUUUCUAAGACAAGUUGGAUAGAAUCUUUCAUAUUCCCUAAAACAAGUUUGAAAUGCAAGUCCAUUCACCAGUAUUCGUUGAGCCUUUAGCCGACUUUUAAUCCCCCUAAUGAUCUAAUUGGGGUGAUGGGGCUUUGUUAGCACCUACCAUCAAAUUAACAUUUCCAUAAUGUCAAUUUACAUACUAUAAACCCUAAAAGCUAUCUUUUAGCUAGUUGUCAAUUACCAUUUAAAUGGCCAUCCAUUUUCACUUUCUUAUCACUCCAAAGUCAAUUAACAAUCUCAACUUCAAAAUAUUCACAAAUCAAAUCUCUAGUCAUUCUCAAUACUUAAAACCCAAUACUAGUUUACUACUCACCUUGAUAGCUUUGUAACUUUGAACUUCUUUCCAAAAGCUCUCAAGCUAUUAAUAAAGCUUCCUCUUUCUCUCUUUAAAACACCUAACUAGUGAGAGAUUAUGGAAACAAGAAUUUCAUCAUUUUCAAGGGUUUUAAAGUGAGAGAGUGGAAGAAUACAAGGGUUCUAGUCAAAAGGGCACCAAGGUAUGAAAAUUAGAACUAGAGAGAGAAAGUUAUGAAAGCUUCACAUCAAGCUUCCAUGGAGGAAUUGAAGAAACGUGAGAGGGAAGAGAACAAGAAGAAGAAGCUGUUAGAAAUCCCAAAAAGUUGCUAGAAGGAGAGGAUAUUUAUGGCCGAAGCUUAUCCACUCCCUUGGAAAUUACUAAAAUGCCCCUCCACAAAUUAACUUAAUCCUUGAAAUCCCACACUUUUUCUUCAAUUUUCC